GACAGGUCUAGAAAAAGUCUAAUACUUUAAGGCUUCAACAUAUAAUAUCGAAGGCAUGGAAUAUCAAGAACCAAAUUCACUUGUCAAAUCAAAUAGCUAGAUAAUGAAAGACGGAUAACAACUAAGUUAGGAAACAACUUCCAACGGAUGAAAUUCAAAUUGUUUGAUGACCUCAAUCCAGCAUGGACUAAACAUAAAGAUGAACCCGAAACAUCAACAGAUUCAACAUAAAAAAACCUAUGGCUUGCCAACGCCAAUCUACAACGAACAUCUCAGCCUCAAGACAUUAACCAAAGUUGCUACUGCUAUAACCAUUACGACACGACAGUAAGGGGAAGAAUCGAGUACUAACUAGUUUUUGGGCAGCAAAACGGGAUAACGAGUUUAUGUCGAGAUGCACCUCCAUCGAAAAUUAGCAUUACCAACUCAGGAACCUCCUCCGAUUGACCGACCAACUUUCAGAAAGAAAAAGGAAAAAGAAAGUUUUCAAUAAGGGAACUAUUUUGAUCUCAAAAUUUUCUUUCCCCUCUUUUAGAAUCCUAAAAUUUCAAACUCCAGAAUUUUCAACCCUAAUUUUCAAAUACCGAAUUUCCCCUAAGUUUUUCCACCCAAGAAUUUCGAACCCAGAGGGGAAAAAAAAGAAAAUCCCCUUUUCCUUCUCUAAAGAGAGCUACUUAUAGAAGAGGAUUGAGGGUUUAUUUUUGAAAUUUAAAAAAUCAGGACCAUAACAAACUGUACCUCUAUUUUCAUUUUCUUGAACGAAAUUCCAAACAGUGGACAAUAGAAAUUGGUAGAAAGGGAAUAAUCUUUAUAAGCCAAUGAAAAUUUUCCAUCUAUGUACCAAUUCGUACUAUGGUACACGAGAUUCAUGGGAUUUGAACGUUAGGGUGAGCCAGCUCACCCAUUGCUAAAAGUUUUUCUUGAAUUUUCGUAACCAACACACGCUAUCUAGGCGGGUCAAAGUUGGUUCGACUUUGGGAAGCUGGUUUUCGCCAAUUUUUGGGUUGAGGAUGACGGGUCGGGUCGAUAUGGAUGGAUUUUGGUUGGAACAUGGUCAUUGAAUUUGGUGGUUUUGAGUUGUUAGGAUGGUUGAGAAUUUUUCUUGUUUAUGUGCAGCUUUGCUGCUUUGGAGGAGACAGGGGGGAGAAAUAAGAGAGUUGGGCCGGUCAGCCGUUCUUUGGGCCUGGGGGUUGGUGUUGUUUUGGUUUGGGCUGGCUGGUGACGGGUUGGGUCAGAUUUGGGGAUUAUUUAAUAACCCCAAUUAAAUCUAAUUGGGUUAUUAGAUAACCCUAAUUAAAUUUAAUUGGGUUAUUAAAUAACCCUAAUUAAAUUUAAUUAGAUUAGAAUAAUCAUAAUUAAAUUUAAUCGGAUUAAAAUAAUCUCAAUUAAGAAAUGAUAACUUUUGGGAUUAAGAUUGAAUUACAAUUUAAACGACUUAUUUAAAUUACAACCAAAUCGAAUGUCUAUUGGUCGAUUGCAUCACAAUUGGGCCAGUUUGAUUUCAAUUUAGGUCAUAUUUUAUUCGUUCGCUAAAUUGAAUCGCAAUCUGACACGAAUCAAGUAACAAAUUAACCUUGAGUUUCUUAAUUUGAUAAAAAUCCAACAAAUAUUCCUCCCAAUAAAAUAUUUUGAGAGCAAAUCAUAUUUAAAACCAAGAUUUUAUCCAUUUGAAUUAAUUUUCAAGUUCAAUCAAUAAAAAUCUAAUUUUGAUAAAAUGUUCAUUUAAAUAACAAAAUUUAUACACUCUCGUAUAUAUAUGAAAAUGCAAAAAAUGUAUAACCGCUAAUUAAAUGAUAAAAUCGAAUUGAAUAAGUAAUUUAAACCAGCGUUUAUUUGAACAAAAUAAUUGUUGUGAUUUUAUUUUAAAAUUGAAGAAACUAGAAAUUAAUUGGAUUUCGGAGGGCAAAAAUUAGGUGUCAACAACUGCCCCCUCCCUUUGGGUAGGGUGGAUGCAAGUAACCCUGGGCAAAGGAAGGUUGACGUUCCUAAUUUGGUUCGACCACCAAUUCGAAUCUGAAAGAGGUUAAUCUUCGCACAGGUUUCAUGGAAUUAUGGCCGAACCUCGAUAUCAGGUUUCCUACAUAUCUUAGGUUUCAUGAGAAUUCAUUCCACUUGUAGUUCAUAAAGCUUGAUUUUAAGCACGAUUUUCAAGAAAAUUCACCAACUAUCAUAGUUUUAGAGUUUUUGAUGAAACCGAGAAGUUGGGGAAUGAAGGGAUUUGGGAGGAAGUUGGAAUGCAGUCAAAUUUUCUACAUACAUUCCAGCCUACAUAUCCCCAAGAUUUCAAGAAAUCAGACUGCUUGUAGUUUGGCUCAAUUGGUAGGAAAAAUAGUCUUUUAUUUCAGACCAUCUUUGGCUCGGAAUGAGUGACAAGUUGAUCAAGUUGCGGAAAAGAGGCUUGUAACCUUUUAACCAUGAAUGUGGGAUCCUUCACAUCCAUAGGCAAGAACUUACCUGGACAUAAUUUUCAAAACUCUAAGUGUGUUGCCACCCGAAUUUGAAAGAAAGAGAAGGUUACCCUCAGCAUGAGUUUAGAAAUGUCCCAAAGGUGAAGCUGAAACCAGAAUAUCCUGAAACACCCACAUGCCUUAUAAUAGGGGUAUGGUUGGAUGGUGGUGGUGAUCAUCCUUUAUCUCCUAUCCAAAGAGUUUGACGUCCCUCUUUAGACUAUGUCCCGUUUUGCUGCUAAGAAAGAGUUCCACGUUGUGUUGUGUCCUAUUUGAAGUCAUCUGCACCUGUGGUUUUGAUUUGAGAUUUUUAUCCUAUCGGAUGCUCUCGACAAUGCUUCAAGUAAAAAGUGUUAGUGCUAAACAUAAUUCACGAAAGAGGUAUGUAGUCUUUUACAAUAUCUCCACGUGAGUUGUGGCCUGAAAAACAGAGUCAUAUCUUCAUGUAUCUGUUUGGAGUGAAAUAAAUGGCAACAACAAAAACAACAACCCUCUUGGUUGUUGUAUAAUUAUGACAUUUGUUGGUUAAAUAUGUCUUCAAAGUGGGGUGACCCUUUUGGACACCGACGAUACUUUAUGCAAAACGGUCCCUACAAUCGUGUAAUCUUGUGAUGGUGUGGCAACCCUUUUGGUUACCUAUAUCACUUGUUGUAUGUUUAAUGAUUAUCUCUCCGGUUAUAGCCGAUGAUCGAUUUAUAAAUUUUCUUUAAAUUGUUAAUCUUUAGAUAAUCUUGCGUAUUAUUUGAUGUUAGAUACAAGGCGACUUACAAAUAUCCUUUGAAUUGCUAGCUUUUAGGUAAUCCUGCACAUUAUCUGACUUUGGAUAAGAGAUGGUUUACAGAUAUCCCUCCAAUCGCUAGCUUUCAGGUGUUCCUGCACAUCAUCCGACCUUGGAUACAAUAUGACUUAUAGAUAAUCUCUCAAGUUGUUAGUCUUUGGGUAAUCCUACACAUAAUCGAUCUUAGAUAUGUCACGGCUUAUAGAACCCUUGGACGUAUCAAUUUUAUAAUCUUGCAUAUUCUUCGGUAAGGAUUUAGUUGCGACUUAUGGAUAACCUUUGAACUAUCGAUUUUUGGGCGAUCUUGCACACUAUCAGGUUAGGAUGUUGUUGUGUCUUACGGAUGAGCUACAAGCUAUCAACUCAUAGGUGAUCCUGCACACUAUCCUAUCAACUCAUUCUUAGAUAGCGACUUAAAGGCGUCCCUUUAAAUCGUGUGCUCUCGAUGCAUUCAAAUACUGGUUCAUAAAAUAAUGAGAUAUCCUUAACGCCAGCGAUGUCUUGUGUGUCAACAGAUAUAUAAUGAUGAUGAUAUCCUUGAUGACAACUUUGUGUCUUGCGUGUCAACAGAUAUAUUGAAUGCUGAUGAUAUCCUCAACACCAGCGUUGUGUCUAGCGUGUCAACAAAUAUUGAAUAAUGAUAUCCUCGAUGCCAGCGUUGUGUCUUGCGUGUUAACAAAUAUUGAAUGAUAAUAUCCUCGAUGCUAGCAUUGUGUCUUACAUGUCAACAGAUAGAUAUAUUGAAUGCUGAUGAUACCCUCGAUGCCAGCGUUGUGUCUAGCGCAUCAACAAAUAUUAAAUGAUGAUGAUAUCCUCGAGCUAGCAUUGUGUCUUGCAUGUCAACAGAUAUAUUAAAUGCUGAUGAUAUCCUCGAUGCCAAUGUUGUAUCUAGCACAUCAAAAGAUAUUGAAUUAUGAUGAUAUUGUCGAUGCCAGCAUUGUGUCUUGCGUGUCAACAUAUAUAUUAAAUGCUGAUGAUAUCCUCGACGCCAACGUUGUGUCUAGCGCGUCAACAGAUAUAUUAAAUUUUGAUGAUAUCCUCGACAACAGUGUUGUGUCUAGCACGUCAACAGAUAUUGAAUAGCCUUCUUGGGCGAUGGUAUAAUAUGGCCCUCUUAGCGAUAAUAUGCAAUAGCCUUUUCGGCAAUGAUAUGCAAUGACCCUCUCGGCAAUGAUAUGUAAUGGCCCUUUCGGCAAAUGACAUGCAAUGGUUCUUCCGGUAAAUUAAAAAUAGUUUCACCUGAAAUCAUUUGUCAGGGUCUUGCUUUCUGCAUGUACCUGUACUCAAGGUAGAUGAUUAGUGGACACAAAGUCGCUUUUGCUAGCGACUAUUUUUUUUUAGAAAAAUUCUAAAUACGAUAUUUGUAAAAAAGACAAGACACUUUUGUUUGUCCUCUAUAAUCUCAAUAAAUAAGAUGGACAAUUCUAAAGGUCGUCAAUAAAUGGGUGUUGAGCCGAUUUUUGGGCUACCAAAAGUACCAUUAUUAAUCCUUAUAUGCUCUGUCAUGGCUAUCGACUUGCUUGGAGAUUUUUCAAAAGAAACGCUCAUUUUUGUGUAUCGAUCCCUGCAUCCACAUAAAAUGAUUAGUUUGAAAGAAACUACUCCGUGUUGACCUCCUACGAUCCUUGAUUUGCCCUCGCCAUCUUUCAGGUACUUCAUCAUGUUGGGACUUCCACCCCUGACUCCCCGUCCUAAUUGAUGUCUAGGCAAUCACUAAGUAAAAGAUUUAUAUAGAUUUUUUGAAAGUACUCUUAAUUUUUUAGAAAAUAGUUUCGAGAGCUCCUGCAAAACUUUGAAAAAUCUCUGCCAGUCAUGUCAUUUGCUAGCUCAAGGACCGUCUUUCUUUUGAUUCUGACAAUGUUUGACGUUUGACGGAGGAUUUUUAGGGAUUCAGGAUUGUCAAGGCUCUCUACCAGAAGUUUUAUCAAAGACGGAGAUUCAAUCUUCUUAGACUUUAUCGCAGGUGACAAUCCUCAAAUCUCAACUUCGACCUCUAGUGUUGGGGAAUUUGAAAUAUAUUUCAAUAUUUGGUAGAGAUUUUGAGGCCUUCCUCAAAAUUUCUUCCCCAUUUUAGAGUUGUUUGAAAUGAUAUCAACACGAGUGAAUCUGAAGUCUUUGUUGGUCUUCAUUCUCUUUAUUUCUCUUGCGAAUUUUUGAGAUUCCUUCUCAAAAAUUCUGCCCCAGUUUCCAUUUCCUGGGGUUAUAUGACCGAGCCGUUGGGGCGCCUACGUAUCCCGUUAAAGCAGAAAUCAGGUCAAACGUAGUUCUGGCUACGCUAGAGAUAUAUAUAAAAAAUCUAAUGGGUUGACCAAAACCGACAUAGGCCACCUACAUAUCUCAUUCUUGAGAAUUCAGGUCAUCACGUAGUUCAUACAUAGAGGGAAAGGAUAAAUUUUUCUAAGGGGCUGACCGAAGCCGACAUAGGCUACCUACGUAUCCCUUUCUUGGGAAUUCAGGUCAAAUGUAGUUCGUACAUAAAGGGAAGGGGUUCUAGGCAAUUACACAUCAUGAAAUUGAUACUAUUAUAAAGGAGAUUACAAAUAAACCAAGAAACAAAAAUUAUAACAUCUUUCAAGCACGAUAUAUCUUUACCGCAUCAGAAUUGAUUGGUUUGGUCCACUCUUGACCAUCCAUUUCAGGUAGGAUUAGGGCUCCUCCAAGUUGGGAUUCUUUUGAUUUUCACAUUCCUCUAUAUCUACUACUAACUGCUCCUUAUCACCUUUUCUGUUCAUCAUUAUUUCUUUUGCUUUGUUCGUCGAACCCUUGACAUGACAUGAUAUUGGCAGGUUUUUAAAUUAUUGCUACCAAAAUAAAUCAUGCUAGAUAAUCAUAUUUAAAAAAAAAAAAUAACUUCUUAAAUAGAGGGAGGCCUUUUGGAAAAUAAAAUAAACUAUGGCUCAUGACCCACACAAAUGUGGGCCCAUGCCUUUUUGAAAGUUGUAAAAGACGAAAAAAAAAUUUGAGACAUAAAAGGGUGGAUCACGAGGCCUCCUUCGGAUCAUCGCCGAUUUUAAAAACUAUUAGUAAUUUCCCCUUUCAUAUACCACGAUGGUUGACAGGUUAUGAGUGGAGUGGAGGUCCAGUUUUGCAAGGCCUCCUCUGAUGCAAUCUUCUUCACCCCACAGGACUUUGGGAAAUCAUCUGGUAGAGCAUUGCAUCCUUUAAACAGAUCUCCUAUCCCAUCCCCAAGACCAUCAUCAUUUGACAUAUCAUGUACGGGAAAUGACUGGUACAAGAGCAACAAGGGUCUAAACAGACCCUCCUUUGAAUUAUCUUCAAUCUCAUCUUCCUUUCUUGGUUGGUAUCCUACUCCACGCUUAAAUUCUCUUUCCAGGACCAUAAUAGGCUCAAUAAUUCCUUCUGAAUUCUUACUCAAGGAAGCCACAACUUUCUCUAUCUUUUCCACUCCUUUUGUCUUUUUGGAGUUUCGUGAAUCCACAUUAGCAAUUGUCUCGCUAGAUACCCAUUCGUCUGCUAUUUCGAUCAUGCUAACCAUGGCUCCCUUGUGAUUAGGUAAUGGGUUAAUAGAAACAUUUAGUGCCGGCGCCUGAAGAGUGAUGAUCUUCUGGUCAAUCAAGUCCUGGAUCUUAUAUUUUAGAUUGAUGCAAUCUUCAGUAUUAUGCUCGGGAGCUCCUGAAUGAUAAGUACAGACUUGAUCGGCAUGAAAGAAUCGAGAAUUGAGAUUGGUAGUCUUUGGUGGAAUAGGCUGUAAAUAAUCGGCCUUCAUCAAUCUUUUGAAGAGAUAGGUACAACUUUCAGCCGAUAAAGUGAAUUUUCUGGGAGGCUUCUUCUCGAAGCUUACACGUGGGUGGUUAUACUAAUUUUGAUUUGCAGGAGGAGGUACUAUCAGCUUCUCGAGGCUUACACGUGGGUGGUUAUACUGAUUUUGAUUUGCAGGAGGAGGUACUUGAUGAUAGUUUGGAGGCACUUGGACAUUUAUUUGAUUGUUUAAAAGAAUAGCUUGAACAUGAGAUUGAUAAUUUGGCUGCGGAAUUUGGCACUAGGGUAAAAUAUUUAAGAUUGGAGCUUGAUAUUGGGGAUGGGCAUAGAAUACAAGCUGAAAAUUUGGUGACAGUGGUGAGGAAAGAAUAUUCCUAGGCUUGAAUUUCCUCUUCAAUUUAUCAACAAAAUCAGUAGAGACCACAUUCAUAUCCUCUCUUUUCUUCUUUAAGAAUGCAGAAGAUUCAGAUGAUGUUGGGGUUUUGGCAAUUUUUCCUGUUUGGGUGCCUUCCUCUAAAGAUUCCCCAUUCUUUACUAAAUCUGCAAAAGUUACUCGGACCACGGAUACCAACCUGGUAUAAUAUUCUCCCUCCUGAGCGCGAGAGAACACAGACACCAUUUCUUCCUCAGACAUGGGAGGUUGUGCUUUGGCAGCUUCUUUUCUCUAACGGAAGGCAUAGUCUCAGAAACACUCAUCAUUCCUCUACUUGAUCCGAUCUAAUAAAUAUCAGUAAGGGACUAUUUCAAUGUUAAAUGCAAACCUAUUAAGGAAACUUUUGGCCAAUGCCCUCCAACUAGUCCAUUUUUCAGUUCUUGAGACAUGAACCAAUCUAAGGCUUCGCCACUUAAGCUUCGGCUGAAUAAGCGCAUCAAUAAUGCCUCAUUUUUUCCUACUCCCACCAUUUGAUCACAAUACCUUCUCAGAUGAGCCAUUGGAUUUCCGAUGCCAUCGAACACUUCAAAUUUAGGGACCUUAUACCCUUCUGGUAGAUCUACUCCAGGGUGAACACAUAAAUCAUCGUAACCUAACCCGUCUUGUUCUCCGCUCUAUGAUAUUCCUUGAUCCUCAUGAUCUCUUCAUUCAUAGCUAGCAACUUUAUUUCAUGCUCGGUCCUCCACUCUUUCUCUUUCUCCUCGUAAUGGUCCACCUCGGGAUUAGGAAGGAAAUUAUAGAUGUUAGGGGAUAUGAUGACAUGAGAAGGAUUUGGAAAGACAGCUUGAUUUUGUAGAUGAAAGGAAGUUGGUAAGUGGGUGGGGAGAACGUUUCGGAAAUUGGAAAAGUUUUAUGGAAUUUGAGAGUACCUUGGUAGGAUCUAGGAGGGAUUCUGCGGAUUCAAAAAUAAAGUUUGUGGGUUUGGAGAUAGAUUUGGCAGAUUUGGUAAAUCUGGGGAUGGAUUUUGUGGAUUUACCAAUGGGUUCUGGGGAUUUGAGAAUGAAUUUUGUAGAUUCAGAGAAGGAUUUUGUGGGGUGAGGGAUGAAUUUUGUGGAUUGUAAGCAUCUGGGUUAUUUUCAUGAUUGGUACUUUGGAUAAGUGGAGGGGCAGCGGCGGACGAUAUGUUAUUUGGAUGAUCCCCAAGAAUAGACGUACUGAGGGGAGGGAUUUGGAGUGGAGUCUCGUGUCCUCUUGGAGCGGGAGCAUUGAGAGUGAUGGCCAGGUUAGACAAAUCUCGAGUACGAUUUAUUUUCUCCUAAAGCAUUUCUAGCUUUCUUGUGAGUUCCGCAAUCAUCUCACUCUGUUCCGCUAUUACAUUGUCCCUGAUGGUCAAUGUAUUUUCUUCUUCAUUUCCAGUCAUUAUUGAAUGAUGGUUAGAGGAUAGAAUUUUGUGCGCUUUUGAGGUGAAGUAAGGAUGUUCUGCCAGCUUAUUUCAACACGGAGUAGUUUUCUAUUAUCAGUAAAGUAAAAUAACUCAAAGGCAAAUGUGUUAGUUUCCACGUGUGAUAAGCAAUGCAAAAUACUUGACAAGAAAUAGCCACGUAGAGUUGUUUGUGUCAUAGCCAAAUUCAUCUAUAGGAGCAUAGCGGAUAAACUUGUCUUUGAUCCAAACAAAUGCACAUAAACACAUAAGAACAUAAUAAUGUGUAUCCUAACUGGGGUGACCCUUUUGAGCCAAGGGUUUGGGCCUAACAAUUUUUGAAGAAAAAUAUAUGCUUGCUUAAGGUUAAUCCAUUAUUUCCCAACUUUAUAGACACUAAAAGGGCAUAAAUGCCUACAAAAGAUAACAAAAGAGGGAUACAAUCUUUAGGGAAAGGAAAAUAACAUGAAAGAAGACACAUUCCCACACAGGGGAUAGAAAAUACUAACUCCUGGGUGCUUCUUCUGUCAGCCUUCGUCUUCUUAGCUUCGUAUAUUUCUUAUAUUGGUGACAUCCGUUGACGUUCAAACUGUGCCUUAGAUGCAACCUCCCAAAUCGAUUAAUUUCUUGCUUAAAUUGCUUCAAUUCUUAUUACGAAAGUAAGCAAAUCAAGCUUUUUCCCCACCCUAAAGGAUAAUGGAUUGAAUUAGAAAGGCAUACAUUUUCUUCAACACAUAAAUAUGAUUCAUCUAUAAUUGACUCAGGGUCAAUAAACGCAGGGCAGGUUUUCUAUUAGGCCCAAUACCUCGCUCUGGUAUUGGGCCGUCCUAGGCUCAUACUUAAAUAGGGUUUUGGUUUUGUUGUUUCCUAGGUGUCUAGAGUGGGUUUGAACACUGGUUCUCAAGCGGACAACUUUAGUUUGAAAAUACGAACAUCCAUCAAAUGACUCAUGUGCUAAUAAGUCAUUCGUAUUUCCAACACUUUAUUGGAAUUGAACAAUAGGGGCCGGGACAUCCACGAAACCCUAAAACAGUUUAAAUAAUGAAGGAAUAUACCAUGAGAUCCGAUAGUUAAACUUUACAGAAUCGAAAUAUAUGAAAACAUGAAUAGUUAACCAAAGGACGAAAUCAAACAUUUGGUUAGAACCUAGUUACAAAUCCCCAGCAGAGUCGUCAUUUCUGUUUUGCGAAAAUUUUAACUUUUGAAAGAGAGUCACCACUUAAUUUUGAAAAAGAAAUUAAGAAACCUUUGUAAUGUACUUAGACGAUUCAAAAUAGAAAAAUCAUUUAAGUUAAGAGAUUCUAGAUAAGCGGUUCCUAUUAACGUUUUAGGAAGGUGUUAGGCACCUAAAACGUCCGCUAACUUGCAGUUAUCUGGACUGUUUGGAAAUCGUCUUGACUAACUUUGGAAAAUCGAUUUAUUGGAGAAAAGAUUGGUUAGGGAAAAGUUUUUUCAAAAUCAAUUUUUAGCGACUUAGUUAGGGAUUUAACUAGGUUCGCAAGAAGCAUGUAAAAACAAGUACGAAAAAGGAAAAGGGAAAAGGGAAAAGGGGAGAAGUAGUGAAUUAGGCUUUUAAGCCCAAACCGUCAACCUGUCCUAGUCUAGAUGUUGGGCUUUUGGCCCGUCUUCCACUUGUCCUAAUUCUAUGUUUUCGAGCCCUUUUUGGCUCGAGUUUUCACUUCGCCUGUAUUAGAUACAACUUUGGCUUCAAGGCCCAAAUGAAUGACUAAAUUAAUAAACACAUAAAUAAAUAACUGAAAAUAAAUAAAGCAACAAUAAAUAAAUAAAGCAAAAUAAGACUCUUCGACUCUCUUAGUUACUUCAAUAAGGGUGCCUUUGGAUCCAUUUUUUCUUCUUCCAUCUUCUUGCCUUGGUAUGCCUCAUGAUCGACUUUUAGACUUGGUCUCGGAGUUGACUCGAUAGAGAUGAUGGGCCUCAAGAUCCCAUGAUGAAUAUGCAAAAGGGAAAGAGUCCAUGUAGGACUCAAAUGAUUCUUCGAAAAGGACAUAUUAGGAAUUAAUACAUGUUCACAAAAAUGAAUUAUUCGGACAACAAAGAAACAUGAAUCAAACUCAUAUAUAAGAAACAAAUAUGGAGGCCACAAGGACCGGUAAUGAAAGUUUAGACAAAAACCACAACAUACCCCGUAUAUUGCCACCAAGUGGGGUCUGGGGAGGUUAAGAGUAAACAAUCCAUGCCACUACCUCACAUGUGAGAUAGAGAGGUUGUUUCCGAUUAACCCCCGACUCAAACUAGAAAAGGGAAAUUGAUCUUUAAAAUAAUCUGCACAACUGAAUGUUGAUAGAUCUUUCAAGGAUAGUCCACUAAAUGGCUCAAGGUGAAUUAUAAGUAUAGAUAACAAAAAAAAUUCCUUAAUAGGCAUAGAGAAGGAUGAAUACUACUGUUUUAGAACCCAAAUUCCAACUGAUACAUAUACUAACAUGGUACUAAACAGGAUUCUCUUUGAAUGGUCCUUUUAUUUGAGUCGUAAAAUUUCUAACACAAAAGUUCUACUUGAGGUUAAAUGCACCAACAUAAGAGAGUUAUACAAAGCCGCAGUUGAACCUAGAUCUUCCAUAGAAAUGAGUCACAGAACAAGAAAACUAAAGACAAUGAUAGCAGCAAUCUGGAAUUCAAAGCCUCUAGUCUAUAAAGAUAUCCUAAGUCUAGUUUUAACAUGGCUAGUUAGUCAAUUAGAUUAUAAUCACAGAAGAACUUGAAAUUUUCGCAUAUCUAACAAUUGAACAGCACUCAACGAAUCCAAGGUGGCACACAUCAGUGCAUAAAAAAUAAACUGAGAUAUAGUUUCAUGGACAGGUCUAGAAAAAGUCUAAUACUUUAAGGCUUCAACAUAUAAUAUCGAAGUCACGGUAUAUCAAAAACCAAAUUCACUUGUCAAAUCAAAUAGCUAGAUAAUGAAAGACGGAUAACAACUAAGUUAGGAAACAACUUCCAACGGGUGAAAUUCAAAUUGUUUGAUGACCUCAAGCCAACAUGGACUAAACAUAAAGAUGAACUCGAAACAUCAACAGAUUCAACAUAAAAAAAACUAUGGCUUGCCAACGCCAAUCUACAGCAAACAUCCCAGCCUCAAAACAUUAACCAAAGCUACUACUGCUACAAUCAUUACGACACAACAGUAAAUGGAAGAAUCGAGUACUGACCGGUUUUUGGGUAGCAAAACGGGAUAACGAGCUUACGUCGAGAUGCACCUCCAUCGGAAAUUAGCAUUACCAACUCAGGGACCUCCUCCGAUUGACCGACCAA
RNAcentral lists this long non-coding RNA (12005 nucleotides) under Capsicum annuum. Its description in RNAcentral is "long non-coding RNA (CANN_LNC005774)". Lineage: Eukaryota; Viridiplantae; Streptophyta; Magnoliopsida; Solanales; Solanaceae. The record is from RNAcentral.